GUACGAACGCUGGCGGCGUGCUUAACACAUGCAAGUCGAGCGAUGAAGUUUCUUCGGAAAUGGAUUAGCGGCGAACGGGUGAGGAACACGUGAAGAAUCUGCCCUCCACUUUGGGAUAACACCGGGAAACCGGUGCUAAUACCGAAUAUUGAAACAUAAGUGGCAUCACUGAGUUUUUAAAGAAUUUCGGUGGAGGAUGACUUCGCGGCCUAUCAGCUAGUUGGUGAGGUAAUGGCUCACCAAGGCAACGACGGGUAGCCGGCCUGAGAGGGCGACCGGCCACACUGGGACUGAGACACGGCCCAGACUCCUACGGGAGGCAGCAGUGGGGAAUAUUGGGCAAUGGAGGAAACUCUGACCCAGCGACGCCGCGUGCGGGAUGAAGGCCUUCGGGUUGUAAACCGCUUUCAGUAGGGAAGAAGCGAAAGUGACGGUACCUACAAAAGAAGCACCGGCUAACUAUGUGCCAGCAGCCGCGGUAAUACAUAGGAUGCAAGCGUUGUCCGGAAUUAUUGGGCGUAAAGAGCUCGUAGGUCGUUUGCCACGUCGGAUGUGAAAACCUGAGGCUCAACCUCAGGCCUGCAUUCGAUACGAGCAAACUAGAGUUUGGUAGGGGAGACUGGAAUUCCUGGUGUAGCGGUGGAAUGCGCAGAUAUCAGGAGGAACACCAACGGCGAAGCAGGUCUCUUGGGCCAAUACUGACACUGAGGAGCGAAAGUCUGGGGAGCGAACAGGAUUAGAUACCCCGGUAGUCCACGCCGUAACGAUGAUCACUAGUAGUAUGAAGAUUCGACCUUUGUGCUACGAA
This 808-nucleotide ribosomal RNA is filed under the name uncultured Crater Lake bacterium CL120-137. RNAcentral describes it as "bacterial SSU rRNA". It matches the Rfam family "Bacterial small subunit ribosomal RNA", at positions 27 to 850 of the family's 1533-position model. The record is from RNAcentral.